RNAcentral lists this ribosomal RNA (491 nucleotides) under uncultured bacterium. RNAcentral's name for it is "partial 16S ribosomal RNA". It matches the Rfam family "Bacterial small subunit ribosomal RNA", at positions 29 to 506 of the family's 1533-position model. The record is from RNAcentral.
AGUGAACGCUGGCGGUAGGCCUAACACAUGCAAGUCGAACGGCAGCACAGUAAGAGCUUGCUCUUACGGGUGGCGAGUGGCGGACGGGUGAGGAAUACAUCGGAAUCUACUUUUUCGUGGGGGAUAACGUAGGGAAACUUACGCUAAUACCGCAUACGACCUACGGGUGAAAGCAGGGGAUCUUCGGACCUUGCGCGAUUGAAUGAGCCGAUGUCGGAUUAGCUAGUUGGCGGGGUAAAGGCCCACCAAGGCGACGAUCCGUAGCUGGUCUGAGAGGAUGAUCAGCCACACUGGAACUGAGACACGGUCCAGACUCCUACGGGAGGCAGCAGUGGGGAAUAUUGGACAAUGGGCGCAAGCCUGAUCCAGCCAUACCGCGGGGGUGAAGAAGGCCUGCGGGUGGUAAAGCCCUUUUGUUGGGAAAGAAAAGCAGCAGGUUAAGACCCCGCUGUUCUGACGGGACCCAAAGAAUAAGCACCGGCUAACUUCGU